UACGUAGGGUGCGAGCGUUAAUCGGAAUUACUGGGCGUAAAGUGUGCGCAGGCGGCCGAGCAAGUCGAGUGUGAAAGCCCCGGGCUUAACUUGGGAAUUGCGCUCGAAACUACUUGGCUGGAGUGUGGCAGAGGAGGGUGGAAUUCCACGUGUAGCGGUGAAAUGCGUAGAGAUGUGGAGGAACACCGAUGGCGAAGGCAGCCCUCUGGGCCAACACUGACGCUCAUGCACGAAAGCGGGGGGAGCAAACAGGAUGCGAAAACACAGUAGUCC
Molecule: ribosomal RNA, 273 nt
Filed under: uncultured bacterium
Lineage: Bacteria
Description: partial 16S ribosomal RNA
Rfam family: Bacterial small subunit ribosomal RNA
Source: RNAcentral